AGUGAACGCUGGCGGUAGGCCUAACACAUGCGAGUCGAACGGCAGCACAGUAAGAGCUUGCUCUUACGGGUGGCGAGUGGCGGACGGGUGAGGAAUACAUCGGAAUCUACUUUUUCGUGGGGGAUAACGUAGGGAAACUUACGCUAAUACCGCAUACGACCUACGGGUGAAAGCAGGGGAUCUUCGGACCUUGCGCGAUUGAAUGAGCCGAUGUCGGAUUAGCUGGUUGGCGGGGUAAAGGCCCACCAAGGCGACGAUCCGUAGCUGGUCUGAGAGGAUGAUCAGCCACACUGGAACUGAGACACGGCCCAGACUCCUACGGGAGGCAGAAGUGGGGAAUAUUGGACAAUGGGCGCAAGCCUGAUCAAGCCAUACCGCGUGGGUGAAGAAGGCCUUCGGGUUGUAAAGCCCUUUUGUUGGGAAAGAAAAGCAGCAGGUUAAUACCCCGCUGUUCUGACGGUACCCAAAGAAUAAGCACCGGCUAACUUCGUG
RNAcentral lists this ribosomal RNA (492 nucleotides) under uncultured bacterium. Its description in RNAcentral is "partial 16S ribosomal RNA". It matches the Rfam family "Bacterial small subunit ribosomal RNA", at positions 29 to 507 of the family's 1533-position model. The record is from RNAcentral.